Long non-coding RNA from Suricata suricatta (meerkat), 752 nucleotides. RefSeq lists it as uncharacterized. NCBI's taxonomy places the organism in Eukaryota, Metazoa, Chordata, Mammalia, Carnivora, Herpestidae. The transcript has 3 exons. The record is from RefSeq and is a predicted model, not a curated record.
GAGAUGGGCUGAGCAAAGUCAACCGGAGUUUGGAGAAUUCCAGCCCCCACAUCAGAGUACCAGGCCUGAUGCUGUCUCUGUACCCUGGACCUGGAGAGGAAAUCCAUCUUUAACCUUUACUGUUGGAGAGAAUGAAGAAAAUUCCCCAUCUCGAGAAAAUGGAGCUGCUAGUUUUUAUAGAAUCAGCAAAGCCUAGGCCGAAGAAAGCCUCCACUGGGUAUCAGUCCAACGUGCGAGGCACCAGACUCUGAAAGACCCAAGGAAGAAAAAUGGAACCUAGGACUCACCGGAGAGUUUAAAUUUCUGAAAGAAGGCAAGUCAAAAAGAAUGCUGUUAUUACAAGCGGGCUUGUGAAGGAAGAUUUGGAUUUUGAAGAUAAGGAGGAAAUACGUCACUGGAUGAACCUGCAGACUCGCACUGCACUGGCAGGAAGGCAUGCUGAUGACAUGUGGAAAGUCUCCCGACUUUUGACUGACACAGUGAGGUGAUAUACAUUAUGGCUACAUUGAAGAGGUCAUCUUGAACAUGAAAGCUACAAUGUAACCUCACCAAGAACUCAGAAAUAUUGGGAAGUUCUCAUUUCUUCUUCAAGUAUCAUAGAGACCACUGUAAUGAUCUCAGCUUCAUUAUAUUACCUUUGGUUUCAGAAAUUCAAGAAAGCAACCCAUGACCCCAAGUCACAACCUAUUAUACUCAAGACAAAAGCAUGUCUUAAAGUUGGGUGUUAUUUAUAUUUCUGAAAGAAAUCCAGA